CUGCGGAGGGAUCAUUACACAAAUAUGAAGGCGGGCUGGAACCUCUCGGGGUUACAGCCUUGCUGAAUUAUUCACCCUUGUCUUUUGCGUACUUCUUGUUUCCUUGGUGGGUUCGCCCACCACUAGGACAAACAUAAACCUUUUGUAAUUGCAAUCAGCGUCAGUAACAAAUUAAUAAUUACAACUUUCAACAACGGAUCUCUUGGUUCUGGCAUCGAUGAAGAACGCAGCGAAAUGCGAUAAGUAGUGUGAAUUGCAGAAUUCAGUGAAUCAUCGAAUCUUUGAACGCACAUUGCGCCCUUUGGUAUUCCAAAGGGCAUGCCUGUUCGAGCGUCAUUUGUACCCUCAAGCUUUGCUUGGUGUUGGGCGUCUUGUCUCUAGCUUUGCUGGAGACUCGCCUUAAAGUAAUUGGCAGCCGGCCUACUGGUUUCGGAGCGCAGCACAAGUCGCACUCUCUAUCAGCAAAGGUCUAGCAUCCAUUAAGCCUUUUUUUCAACUUUUGACCUCGGAUCAGGUAGGGAUACCCGCUGAACUUAAGCAUAUCAAUAAGCGGAGGAAAAGAAACCAACAGGGAUUGCCCUAGUAACGGCGAGUGAAGCGGCAACAGCUCAAUUUGAAAUCUGGCUCUUUUAGAGUCCGAGUUGUAAUUUGCAGAGGGCGCUUUGGCUUUGGCAGCGGUCCAAGUUCCUUGGAACAGGACGUC
RNAcentral lists this ribosomal RNA (703 nucleotides) under fungal sp. RNAcentral describes it as "eukaryotic LSU rRNA". The stretch from base 183 to 336 matches the Rfam family "5.8S ribosomal RNA". The record is from RNAcentral. Lineage: Eukaryota; Fungi.